Oryza sativa Japonica Group (Japanese rice) is the source of this 564-nucleotide non-coding RNA. The record is from RefSeq and is a predicted model, not a curated record. NCBI's taxonomy places the organism in Eukaryota, Viridiplantae, Streptophyta, Magnoliopsida, Poales, Poaceae.
AAGUAUAAAAGAGUAAAUAUUGAUCUGUACCUUUCGUUCUUUCUGCUUCAGGAAUGAACCAUCGUACUAGUUGUUUGACAAAAUGCUAAUACCAAUACUUGCAUGAUGCAGAUCUGAUAAUCAAUUUGAUGAUUUGUGAACCUCUGUGGAUCAAUCAAUACCAAUAUGUCGAUCAUUAAGGGCUCAUUAUAAAUUCUUUUUUGCUACUGAUUCCAUUCCAUCUGAUGACUACAUUUGGAAUUUUAGCUUCAAGAAGGCACAAAAAUACAGAUGAGUAUUGUUGAAGUUCUGAAUGAUGCGAUGGUUCUUCAUACUGUCCUUCGGUGGCAUAUGAGUAAAGGAAUAGAGAUGCUGGUCCAAAAUGGGAGAUUUGCUUUCUAUAUGCUGAAGUUUCCAAAGUAUUUACAUGCAGGAGGGAGAGCAACUGCUAAAGUGUCAAAGAAGAUACUGAAGAUUGUAAAGGAUUGCUACAUCAUGCUGUGAAGGAGGAGGAGAUAAAGCAAGAAUUAUCUUAAGAACAGUUAUAGAUAUAUUUUAUCAUGCUGUGAAGAAGGGAGGAGAUAA